Molecule: long non-coding RNA, 939 nt
Filed under: Ananas comosus (pineapple)
Lineage: Eukaryota; Viridiplantae; Streptophyta; Magnoliopsida; Poales; Bromeliaceae
Description: long non-coding RNA (ACOM_LNC014875)
Source: RNAcentral
ACUACGGUAUUUAAACUCUAUGGAAUUUAUUUACUAUGCAUCCAAACAGGGAGUUUUAUUAUUUGGUAAGUACACGUCAAAUACGCUAUAGUCUAAAAUGAGAUCACUUUUAAAUGAAUUAACCACAAGAAGACUGUGCAGGAACUUUAUGUUGGAAAAAUCUUUCUGAUCUUUUAUUGCAAUACUCUUUAAAAACAACUCGAAAAUUCAAUUUCAACUAUAGAAAAAUUCCGAAACAAAAUUAAACAAAAAUAUUGUAAAGAUAAGUUUUGGAUAAGGCCCGUGGAUCGAUCGAGGCGUACAGUACAUUGUCCGAAAUGAAAUUACACCUCCACGUGCGAGGCUUCCCGGUAAUUACUGCUAGUGAUACAACGACGACGUUCCACCCCGUCAGCAUGCUUUCAAGAUGGCGUAAGAUGAACCCAACCAGUUUUAGAUCCAGCAAAAAAAUACUCGGCGAAAACUCACAAGGCAGAAAAAGACGAGAGGCUUUAGGUAUGCUCGGGUUAUUAAUUAACUCGUGCAACCUCGCCCCAUAUUUAUAAUCAAGGCGAGAAUCUUGCUCCAAUGCGUCAAAUCCGAGUAGAACAAGAUAAGUUUAUGAUUAUAUGGAUAAGGAUUAGGAUAAAGAUAAGAAUUAAAAUAAAGAUAAAACCGAAAAAAUAAAAUAAAAUAAACCGAGUGUAUGAAUUACGCGCGUCGCCGGCCCGGCUCGACUCGUGCUGUGUGUGUAUUUAAACGAGAGCAUUACUCUCACUUUCUUUCAAGCAAUUAGCUUGAGAACAAGGGAAUAUAUAAAAACAAUAAACACCCUUUUGGUUUCUAAUGUGGGACUAAUCAUCACACAUGAAAAUUUUAGUUGGACUCCCCAAGCGGCCCAUUAAUAAUUAUGGUCUCUCGAGAAGCCUUAACAAGUUUUAAAUCAUAACAAACCCAAUA